RNAcentral lists this transfer RNA (76 nucleotides) under Lentisphaeria bacterium. Its description in RNAcentral is "tRNA-Thr". It matches the Rfam family "tRNA". Rfam says of the family: Transfer RNA (tRNA) molecules are approximately 80 nucleotides in length. Their secondary structure includes four short double-helical elements and three loops (D, anti-codon, and T loops). The record is from RNAcentral. Lineage: Bacteria; Pseudomonadati; Lentisphaerota; Lentisphaeria. RNAcentral also lists the same sequence under 1 other name.
GCAAACAUAGCUUAAUUGGCAGAGCAGGGAUUUUGUAAAUCUCAGGUUGUCGGAUCGUUGCCGACUGUUUGCUCCA